UCGGGAAUUUUGGGCAAUGGGCGAAAGCCUGACCCAGCAACGCCGCGUGAAGGAUGAAGUAUUUCGGUAUGUAAACUUCGUAAGAAUAGGAAGAAUAAAUGACGGUACUAUUUGUAAGGUCCGGCUAACUACGUGCCAGCAGCCGCGGUAAUACGUAGGGACCAAGCGUUGUUCGGAUUUACUGGGCGUAAAGGGCGCGUAGGCGGUGUGUCAAGUCAGUUGUGAAAUCUCCGAGCUUAACUCGGAACGGUCAACUGAUACUGUCACACUAGAGUACAGAAGGGGCAAUCGGAAUUCUUGGUGUAGCGGUGAAAUGCGUAGAUAUCAAGAGGAACACCUGAGGCGAAGGCGGGUUGCUGGGCUGAUACUGACGCUGAGGCGCGAAAGCCAGGGGAGCAAACGGGAUUAGAUACCCAUGUAGUCCCUGAGCGGGCUGGCAAGGCGCAU
RNAcentral lists this ribosomal RNA (447 nucleotides) under uncultured bacterium. RNAcentral's name for it is "bacterial SSU rRNA". It matches the Rfam family "Bacterial small subunit ribosomal RNA", at positions 355 to 825 of the family's 1533-position model. The record is from RNAcentral.